CCAAUAUCUAGUGUGGAGUAGGCCUUCAGAAAACUCAAAAUACAAGCACUGGAGGAGCAGCUAAGUAUAUUAAUUCGUCUUCAUCCAGUCUGCUGUGCAUUGAAAAUAGGGUUCAAUUUAUUAAAAUUCCAUUUUGAUUCAAGUUCUCGGGGACCCAAAUAACCUGCAGAUGUGAUAUGUUUUCAAACUAUUUUAUAGUUUCUUCUUUCCUUCUUUCAUUAACUAUGAAAACCAAACAUUUUUAAUUUUUGGAUCAAUAGAGAAGUUACAACUUAUUUUGGGGAAGUUGUUGCCUCCCUAACAUGUCAUUUUUAAUGGCUUAAGAUAGUACUCUCACUUGCAAUAUCCCUUACCUAAAAAACCGAAACAUUUAAUGGAGCACAGUAGUUUAAACACAGCUUAAAUGACACCUUAAUGAUUUCUUUAUGUCUUAAGGAUCCUUUCAGCUUCAAGUAACAGAAAUCCCAAUUCAGAUAAUACAGAAAUGUGUAAUCUCACCAUCACAGGACUUCUGAGGCAAGGUAGCUUUCAGGGUUUGGUUCAGUGGCUCAACAAAGAUAUUGUUGAGCCCUUUCUUUCUAUCUGCUCUGACCUCUUCGAUGCUGGCUUCAUCCCCAGGCUGGUGGCAUGAUGUUGCUGCAGGCCGUCCCUCAUGUCCCCCAGAGGUCAGAAUCCUGAGCCAAUGGCUGGCAAGGAGAGUGAGAUUAUACUAAAGACAAGGGCGGAGUCAGCUUUCCCUGUGACCACUGUAGCUGGGGAAGAAAGAUACAAGGGAAACCUUUGCUGUUUUUCAGUUACCCAGGUAAUUGUUUUCAGGUUCCUUUUUUUUUUUUGGUUGACAAGUUUCAGGGAAUUACAUUCACUUUCUAUGAUGAAAUGGUAACAAACCAAUUAGUGAAAUUGGUGAGCAGGUAAGGGGAGAACCCUACAACAGACAUUUCAAGAGGAAAAGAAGGAGC
Molecule: long non-coding RNA, 959 nt
Organism: Pan troglodytes (chimpanzee)
Lineage: Eukaryota; Metazoa; Chordata; Mammalia; Primates; Hominidae
Source: Ensembl